Molecule: long non-coding RNA, 1600 nt
Organism: Diospyros lotus (date-plum)
Lineage: Eukaryota; Viridiplantae; Streptophyta; Magnoliopsida; Ericales; Ebenaceae
Exons: 5
Source: RefSeq, a predicted model, not a curated record
UGCCCUAAUCCCUCCCAAAUCCCCUAAUUUCCAAAUCCUUCCCAAAUCCCCUAAUUCCCAAACCUCCUUGCUGAAUCCCGACCAUCUCUCAUCCAACGCCUCAACGUCGUCGCCACCUCCAGCUCCGUCACCGUCGUCUCUCAUCCAUCGCCUCCAGCUCUAUCACUGCCUCAACUCGUUUUCUGAAGAAAGGAGGAGGAAAUGGCUUUGUGCUUUCUGAAGAAAGGUGAUAAUGUGCAUUGGACAAGGACAGACACGGACCCAAUGGUCGUUAACACAACUAUUUAUUCAAAGAAAAGAAAGGAAAGAAACUAAGUAAUAUGAAAGAGACAAAAGACAUGGAAGGCUCAAAGACUGGCAAACAUGUCUUCAUACCUCUAGGUACUUUACUUAGAGGAAAGGUAAAAGGGUUUGUCAACUUCAAGGCCAACAUGUUCUUCUAAUAGAGGAUCAAAAGUCCCUAUCAAAAAGAAAAAUGAAAAAGGAGCUGCCAGACAAAAUAGGUGUGACUGCUUUAAAUUGAGACUGCCAGACAACUAGAAUAAGAUAAUGUUGAAGGAGAUGUUAUGAAUUAGAACUUUAAUUUCUUUCUUUUUUGCUCAAAAAUCAGAACCUGUAGGAUGAUGAGAAGUGCACAAUCGCAUAGGAUUAGGUGGAAAAGUGUUGUUGAAAUGUAAAAUUUGGUGGUAAAUGGGGUCUUGAACAAUAGUGGUGAAGAGAAAUAGUAAGAAUAACAGAAGAAAGAAAAUAAUGGGGUUUCUAGCCAUAACUAAAGAAGCUUUUGAUAACUUCAUAACAAAAAUUGUUUAUGUACCUAUAAUGGUUAACACCAUACAAGCUUUGCAUUUAAUUUCUUAUUAUUAAAAGAUGACAUCUUUAGAUUGAGUUAUUAUAUGUAUUUAACAUGAAAAUGCAUUAGAGCUUCUUACCAAUGGGAAUGCUAUUCUAAAGAUGCUUUUACUUUUGUCAGGUUAGUCACCAUCCAAUGAUUGUAGCAUGCCACAUUGUGAAGGUACAGGAUGGAAAUUCUAGGGAGAUAGCAAUCUUAAAAGCAAGUUUUGGGGUCGCUCAAUUCAACUUGAUCCUCUUGGUGUGUUAACCUUGGAAUUUGAUGAUGGACAAGUUUUCCAAUGGAGUAAGGUAUGGCCCAAAAGAACAAUGCAAAUUUGGCUCUGCAUCAUUAUAUUUUCAUUUUUCUCACCUAGUAUGAAGUUUGAGUUUCUCUUUUCAAGUAACGACUUCCAUAUACAAUCUAAUAUUAGGAAAACUGUACUGCGAUCACUAUGGCAUCAUGCAUAUACAGGGGAAUCGUAACUUCUCUUGUAAGCUAAAAUUCAAGGAACAAUCUAUCAUAGACCACAAUCCUCACCAGGUCAAUGAAAUAACAAGACUCUAAAGGAAGCAACUACUGUCUUGGAGUACAUGAACAAUUUUAUGACUAUAUAUAGUGUUUUGUUGUACAUUUUUUAAUAGUAUAUAUGAUUGUUAAAGUGUUUUUUUUAGUUGAACAUAUUUUUUGGUGUAAUUUGUUGAUAAUUAACACUUAUAUAUAUACUACUUUCGGUGUGUAAAUGCUAAUGGAUAAUGAUUACUUUAGUGU